AGCGGCGGACGGGUGAGUAACACGUGGGCAACCUGCCCUGGAGCGGGGGAUAACAUCUGGAAACAGGUGCUAAUACCGCAUAAAACCCCCCCCGAAAACACAUGGUUUUCGUUUCAAAGAUGGUUUCGGCUAUCACUUCAGGAUGGGCCCGCGGUGCAUUAGCUAGUUGGUAAGGUAACGGCUUACCAAGGCAAUGAUGCAUAGCCGAGUUGAGAGACUGAUCGGCCACAAUGGAACUGAGACACGGUCCAUACUCC
This 257-nucleotide ribosomal RNA is filed under the name uncultured Lactobacillus sp. RNAcentral describes it as "partial 16S ribosomal RNA". It matches the Rfam family "Bacterial small subunit ribosomal RNA", at positions 94 to 339 of the family's 1533-position model. Lineage: Bacteria; Bacillati; Bacillota; Bacilli; Lactobacillales; Lactobacillaceae. The record is from RNAcentral.